RNAcentral lists this ribosomal RNA (417 nucleotides) under uncultured bacterium. Its description in RNAcentral is "bacterial SSU rRNA". It matches the Rfam family "Bacterial small subunit ribosomal RNA", at positions 8 to 425 of the family's 1533-position model. The record is from RNAcentral.
AGAGUUUGAUCCUGGCUCAGAUUGAACGCCGGCGGCAUGCCUUACACAUGCAAGUCGAACGGCAGCACGGGAGCAAUCCUGGUGGCGAGUGGCGAACGGGUGAGUAAUAUAUCGGAACGUGCCCAGUCGUGGGGGAUAACGUAGAGAAAUUUACGCUAAUACCGCAUACGAUCUAAGGAUGAAAGCGGGGGACUCGCAAGGGCCUCGCGCGAUUGGAGCGGCUGAUAUCAGAUUAGGUUGUUGGUGAGGUAAAAGCUCACCAAGCCGACGAUCUGUAGCUGGUUUGAGAGAACGACCAGCCACACUGGGACUGAGACACGGCCCAGACUCCUACGGGAGGCAGCAGUGGGGAAUUUUGGACAAUGGGCGAAAGCCUGAUCCAGCAAUGCCGCGUGCAGGAAGAAGGCCUUCGGGUUG